This 422-nucleotide ribosomal RNA is filed under the name uncultured bacterium. RNAcentral describes it as "SSU rRNA". It matches the Rfam family "Bacterial small subunit ribosomal RNA", at positions 369 to 808 of the family's 1533-position model. The record is from RNAcentral.
CAAUGGGGGAAACCCUGAUGCAGCGACGCCGCGUGGAGGAAGAAGGUCUUCNGAUUGUAAACUCCUGUUGUUGAGGAAGAUAAUGACUGUACNCAACAAGGAAGUGACGGCUAACUACGUGCCAGCAGCCGCGGUAAAACGUAGGUCACAAGCGUUGUCCGGAAUUACUGGGUGUAAAGGGAGCGCAGGCGGGAAAACAAGUUGGAAGUGAAAUCNAUGGGCUCAACCCAUGAACUGCUUUCAAAACUGUUUUUCUUGAGUAGUGCAGAGGUAGGCGGAAUUCCCGGUGUAGCGGUGGAAUGCGUAGAUAUCGGGAGGAACACCAGUGGCGAAGGCGGCCUACUGGGCACCAACUGACGCUGAGGCUCGAAAGUGUGGGUAGCAAACAGGAUUAGAUACCCUGGUAGUCCAAGGGCGAAUUC